RNAcentral lists this long non-coding RNA (317 nucleotides) under Mytilus galloprovincialis (Mediterranean mussel). Lineage: Eukaryota; Metazoa; Mollusca; Bivalvia; Mytilida; Mytilidae. The record is from RNAcentral.
UCGCGUUGAUUUUCCUUUCCUAAUCUUUUCUCCAUAGCAUAUUGAAUGUCUUGUUGUAAAAGAGCUUGUUUGAAACGUUCCUUAUGAUCUAUUAAAACUUGUCGUGCGAUAUUUGGUGCUGAAGUCAUUGAUUCAUAUUUUGUAGUAUUCCCAGAUUUAAUUAAAAAGUAUGGUCGAUUGUUAACAAUUUUCACAGCCAAUAACUGUUGAUUUCAUUCCUUGAUUUUGUUCACUUAUAGUUUCAGUUUGUGUGCUUAUAUCAGAUUUGACUUUAGUUGAAAUAUAUUGUACACUAUUAACAGCUGGAUCCGGUUUUG